Molecule: long non-coding RNA, 188 nt
Organism: Aquila chrysaetos chrysaetos
Lineage: Eukaryota; Metazoa; Chordata; Aves; Accipitriformes; Accipitridae
Exons: 3
Source: RefSeq, a predicted model, not a curated record
UUCGCAAAGCCUUGGUAGUAUUCUGUAGUAAAACUGUAUCUCCAGAAUGCACACCACCACCAAUAUUUACUAGUAUUUGCAGGAAUUCUGCUUCCCGUGGCGGAGAGAAGCCGGCUGCGCCGUGCGGCGGGGGAAGAGUCUGGCUCGGCGUCCGGCCGGCAGAGUCUGCGGCGAGCCCUUCACCACUG